GCUGGGCAUGGUGGCGCAUGCCUGUAGUCCUAGCUACUUGGGAAGCUGAGGCGGGAGGAUCACUUGAGCCCAGGAGGUCAAGACUGCAGCGAGCUGGGAUUGCGCCGCUGCGCUCCAGCCUGGGCGACAGAGCAAGACCCUGUCUCCA
RNAcentral lists this signal recognition particle RNA (148 nucleotides) under Nomascus leucogenys (northern white-cheeked gibbon). RNAcentral describes it as "Metazoan signal recognition particle RNA". It matches the Rfam family "Metazoan signal recognition particle RNA". From Rfam's summary of the family: The signal recognition particle (SRP) is a universally conserved ribonucleoprotein. It is involved in the co-translational targeting of proteins to membranes. The eukaryotic SRP consists of a 300-nucleotide 7S RNA and six proteins: SRPs 72, 68, 54, 19, 14, and 9. The record is from Rfam by way of RNAcentral. Lineage: Eukaryota; Metazoa; Chordata; Mammalia; Primates; Hylobatidae.